Non-coding RNA from Lacerta agilis (Sand lizard), 73 nucleotides. The record is from the annotation of a RefSeq genome assembly. NCBI's taxonomy places the organism in Eukaryota, Metazoa, Chordata, Lepidosauria, Squamata, Lacertidae.
GCCCAGAUAGCUCAGUUGGUAGAGCAUCAGAUUUAUAAUCUGAGGGUCAUGGGUUCGAGCCCGAUGUUGGGCA